CAGUAGCCGCGGGAACACGAAGGGGGCUAGCGUUGCUCGGAAUGACUGGGCGUAAAGGGCGCGUAGGCGGUUCGUACAGUCAGAUGUGAAAUUCCUGGGCUCAACCUGGGGACUGCAUUUGAUACGUACGGACUUGAGUGGAGAAGAGGGUCGUGGAGUUUCCAGUGUAGAGGUGAAAUUCGUAGAUAUUGGAAAGAACACCGGUGGCGAAGGCGGCGACCUGGUCUUUAACUGACGCUGAGGCGCGAAAGCGUGGGGAGCAAACAGGAUUAGAUACCCCCGUAGUCCCUGUCUCUUAUAC
This 301-nucleotide ribosomal RNA is filed under the name uncultured bacterium. RNAcentral describes it as "partial 16S ribosomal RNA". It matches the Rfam family "Bacterial small subunit ribosomal RNA", at positions 509 to 807 of the family's 1533-position model. The record is from RNAcentral.